This 100-nucleotide non-coding RNA is filed under the name Odontella aurita. The record is from RNAcentral. Lineage: Eukaryota; Bacillariophyta; Thalassiosirophyceae; Eupodiscales; Odontellaceae.
ACUUUGCUGCAACCACCUGUGCCAUUGAGGAGGUGCAAAGGGAACAGGCCAAGGCUGGCAAACGGAGGGGAGGCAGCAUGGGCACCAUGUCGGAGGAUUU